GCCUACCUUUGGGAUCAAUGGUGCCCUGUUUUUUCCAGCUUGUGCAGGUUCUGAAUGGCAAACAGCACCGUCAUCCACGUCCAUAUUGAUUCCUCAGACUAGUAUCGAUCAGCCUGGUGACAUAUAGUGGGAGUUGUCACCUGGGAGGAUGUUGCAGGGGAGCAAAAUGAACUUGCCAGAUCUGCAGAUCGACAGGCAUGAAAGUGGAACCACAAACAUGGACUCAACUUCAGCCUUUCACUGGAGGAAAUUUCUGUUCCUGCUGAAAAAGUAAUUUCUCCAUGCUCUUUGGGAUACAUAGCUAUAGUGCAUGGAGGGCUCAUCUAGGCUGUGUUUAUCUGGCAACAGAAAGCCUCCA
This is a long non-coding RNA of Neopsephotus bourkii (Bourke's parrot), 358 nucleotides long. RefSeq lists it as uncharacterized. The record is from RefSeq and is a predicted model, not a curated record. The transcript is spliced from 3 exons. Lineage: Eukaryota; Metazoa; Chordata; Aves; Psittaciformes; Psittacidae.